This 376-nucleotide ribosomal RNA is filed under the name uncultured bacterium. RNAcentral describes it as "bacterial SSU rRNA". It matches the Rfam family "Bacterial small subunit ribosomal RNA", at positions 524 to 898 of the family's 1533-position model. The record is from RNAcentral.
GACGAACCGUCCAAACGUUAUUCGGAUUCACUGGGCUUAAAGGGUGCGUAGGCGGCUCAGAAAGUAGGGUGUGAAAGCCCUCGGCUCAACCGAGGAACUGCGCCCUAAACUACUGGGCUUGAGGAACGCAGAGGUAAGCGGAACUUACGGUGGAGCGGUGAAAUGCGUUGAUAUCGUAAGGAACACCAGGAGCGAAAGCGGCUUACUGGGCGUUUUCUGACGCUGAUGCACGAAAGCUAGGGGAGCGAACGGGAUUAGAUACCCCGGUAGUCCUAGCCGUAAACGAUGAGCACUGGAUUGGAGGCCCCCCCAUAGGCUUCUAGUCGUAGCGAAAGUGUUAAGUGCUCCGCCUGGGGAGUAUGGUCGCAAGGCUGAA